Molecule: ribosomal RNA, 633 nt
Filed under: uncultured bacterium
Lineage: Bacteria
Description: bacterial SSU rRNA
Rfam family: Bacterial small subunit ribosomal RNA
Source: RNAcentral
AUACAUGCAUGUCGAACGAAGCACUUGUGCUUAGUGUCAAAUGGGCUGAGUAACACGUACUUAAUCUACCCCCAAGUUUGGGAUAACAGUUGGAAACAAUUGCUAAUACCAAAUACAUAUAAGUUUUGCAUAAUUCUUAUAUAAAAGGAGCGUUUGUUUCGCUAGGGGAUGAGAGUGCGCUACAUUAGUUAGUUGGUAGGGUAAGAGCCUACCAAGACUAUGAUGUAUAGCGGGGCUGAGAAGCUGAACCGCCACACUGGGACAGAGAUACGGCCCAGACUCCUACGGGAGGCAGCAGUAGGGAAUAUUCCACAAUGAGCGAAAGCUUGAUGGAGCAACACAGCGUGCAGGAAGACGACCUUAGGGUUGUAUACUGCUGUUAUGAGGGAAGAAAAAUAAAAUUAGGAAAUGAAUUUUACAUGACGGUACCUCAUCAGAAAGCACCGGCAAACUAUGUGCCAGCAGCCGCGGUAAUACAUAGGGUGCAAGCGUUAUCCGGAAUUAUUGGGCGUAAAGUGUCUGUAGGUGGUAUGUUAAGUCUAGUGUUAAAGACUAGGGCCCAACCCUAGCACGCUCUAGAUACUGACAUGCUAGAGUCAUAGAGAGGUUAGCGGAACUCCUAGUGAAGCGGUG